RNAcentral lists this long non-coding RNA (2538 nucleotides) under Olea europaea subsp. europaea. Lineage: Eukaryota; Viridiplantae; Streptophyta; Magnoliopsida; Lamiales; Oleaceae. The record is from RNAcentral.
AUAAUCUCUCUCUCUCUCUCUAAUUGAAAAGAGCUCAGCAGCCUCAGCUUCAAAACCCAAAAUCACGGUCACAGCAAUGUCAUCACUUAAAUUGUAAGGCUGAGACAAGUCGUCUGUGCUGGAAAAGCAACAGCCAGCCUGAGAUGGUGGACUACACACUACCAAUUUUCCUCAUAUUUUGACGAACCGACCUGUUCAAACCGGAUCCCUUCAAGCUCAUUGGCCGUCUGCGUGGGCCUAGAACGCCGUCGGUUCGUUUUCCCGACUCGGUUCUAAAACUUGUCAAUUUUCGUUGACAUCCUACGGAAGGCGUCGGAGGAAUUCGGGUUCUCGACAACAUGUGUUGCCAAUUUUCUGAGAAACCUUGAAAGUACUUGAAAGUGAUGAAGAAAAAUUUGGUGUGCUGGGUUUGGGGAAGUUGUUAAAGCUCUUUCCUGAAGUGGUUAGUGAAUCUUUUGACCAUUUUUCUUGUAAAAAUUCUUCUUACCACGACUUCACUCCAUUGCUGCAGAAGAUUAAGGAAGGCUAAGGUAAUAUGAACUUUAAGGGAUUUCGUAUAUGAUAUAGGACUAAUAAUGUUGGUUUAUUUCCUCUUGUAACCAUCCUUGGGACGAGAGAGUAGGAUUAGGUUUCUGGUUACUCAAUGAGAUGUUCGAUUUUUCACUUAUUUUAGGGUUUCUUUUUUGGGUGAUUUUAAUUUAGAUUGUGAUGAUGAAGAAAAUAUUAUGAGAUUAAUGGAAGUUCUGGCUGAGAUUGUUAUGAAAUUUUAAACUCUGAAACAUUUUUAGGUUCAUUGCUGUAUUAUUUACAUGUUUAGACGUUUUAAUAUAUUUUUUUUCUGCCCCUAAUUUAGACGUUCUUUGGUUACCAAUGUUCAUUGUUCUUCUACUAGUAUUCUAAUCAUUUUUACUGCAUUUCUUUUAAUUCUUCUAAUUUUUAAGGUACGUUGUAGAAGUAUCAGAAAUUGAGGCGUAGAGCUGCCACUGUGAUUAGGACAAACGAAGCAUAGUGGAGCAGGACUCCGCAAGGGGAGCUAAAAUUGGACUCUUAGCAUGGUAAGGACAUUUAGCCUCAAGCUUACAAAAAAAGGUUAAGGUCCCCUACAUUGGCCAUGGGUGGCCCAAAAGGCUAAUAAAGAGGUCAAGGACAUUGGGCCCGGGCUAUAUCAUCCAUUCCAUGGACAUAAGUUGGACGCGAUGCAUGAGCAUGAGCAGUCAGUGACUCAUGGCCAUCCAUGUCGGAUGUAGGAGUUAAAUGGCAUCAUCAGGUAUUAUUCUUACAUCGUCAUGAAAGAUAAUGCGAUAGCAAUAGCUAUCAUACUUGUAGUUUAAAUGGACAUGUUAGUGUUUUAUGAAUAAGUAAAAUAUAUGCUGUGAUCUUAUUAUUUGUGUGUGUGUAUGUGUUUUAGUCGUUUUUUAGUCACAACUCAUUGCAUUGAAAAAUCAGGGCACACAAAUGGUGCCAAAAAUGAGGAAUGCAAUCAAUCCAACUGUGGAUAGCUGGAGAAGAAGUAGCAUAACUAGCUAGAUUGUGGACCUCUUUAUUCCAUUAUGAGGAAUGAAGCCACACGAACCACAUUCAACAACUUAAACAAGUGCUACAAUAAUUAAGCAAACUAGAGCAUUAAAGGACAAACUUUUACCAGAGACAAACCCACGUAGGACCCAAUAACCGCUUCAUUCCAUGGACUCACAUUUCUUCUCAAAGUGCCGAAUGAGCUUAUCAACCCUAAUUCAGAAUCCGAGCUCUCCUAGUCCCUUAGGUUUACAUAGCGUAUCCCAUUUCACAUUUGCCAUUUUCCUCCACCCUUAUUCAGAAUCCCACCAUAAUAGUUGAAAAAUAACUUAUUGCAAAGAGACUCAGGCAUUUUAGAUAUAAACAGUAUAUACGUUGGGAUAGAUUGCAAAAUCGCCUUAACCAAGACCUCUUGAUCCUGUGGAGAAUAAACACUGUUUUAAGCCUUGCACCCUCAUAUGUACCCUUCCUUUCAAUUGCUCAAAGUUACCCUUUUAUUCUUCCCAACAAUGAAAUCCAUUCUUAAGCAUCUUUCAUGAGGCCUAGCUUCUCCAAAUUAACCACUUGACAUGAUGUCCUCUCGUAUAUUGAAAGUUUAUUCAGGGCAGCUUGACAAUCCGAGGUUCUAGCAUGAGAAAGUACAAUGGAGUGAUGCGUGAAAAACAUGUAACUGGCUGCCCUUGAGCACUCUACUUCCACAAUCUCACCCUCAACCUCUACCUUAUAAAAGAGAGGGACUCUGUACACAGGAUGAAGAGAUAUGGGAAUAAUAGACAGCCCUUCCGAAGCCCCUGCCGUGGAUGACUCUCUUCCUAGGAGCCUCAUUGAAAUUGAACUUAAAUUUGGCCAUUGAGAUCAUGUAAUCACCAAAUUCACCCAGCCACUAGGAAAUUCUAUUUUCUCCAUAACACAGCCUACAAACACACACUUCACUCGGUCAUAAACUUUACUCAUGUCGAGCUUAAGCAGCUUGAAGGCUUACUUCCAUUACUCUUCUUACCAAUGAAUGUACCAAAUCCUGAG